This is a non-coding RNA of Ameiurus melas (black bullhead), 67 nucleotides long. The record is from the annotation of a GenBank genome assembly. NCBI's taxonomy places the organism in Eukaryota, Metazoa, Chordata, Actinopteri, Siluriformes, Ictaluridae.
GGCAGUGGUAGCUCAGUGGUUAAGACUUCUUAUCAGAAGGUUGUGAGUUCAAAUCCCAGCACUGCCA